Cygnus olor (mute swan) is the source of this 248-nucleotide long non-coding RNA. RefSeq lists it as uncharacterized. NCBI's taxonomy places the organism in Eukaryota, Metazoa, Chordata, Aves, Anseriformes, Anatidae. The transcript is spliced from 3 exons. The record is from RefSeq and is a predicted model, not a curated record.
GUUUGUCUACAGCUAGGGCCACUGUCAAGUUACAAGUCCAUGGGGGCACGAGACAAAAGUAUGGAGUCAUAUAUAGCUCUUGGAUAAGGCUACCAACCUCAUAAGGAAGACAGAAAGGAUGUUCAGUCCCAUGGCAUUAUUGCUUUGAAAUAAGGGGUGUUUCUGGAGUGUGGACUCAGUGAAGCCAUUCUUAGCUUUCAUUAACAGUACCUUAUCUCUCUGUCAUUAAGAUGUUCAUCAGCAGUGGU